RNAcentral lists this ribosomal RNA (449 nucleotides) under uncultured prokaryote. RNAcentral's name for it is "bacterial SSU rRNA". It matches the Rfam family "Bacterial small subunit ribosomal RNA", at positions 355 to 796 of the family's 1533-position model. The record is from RNAcentral.
UGGGGAAUCUUGGACAAUGGGCGCAAGCCUGAUCCAGCAAUGCCGCGUGUGUGAAGAAGGCCUGCGGGUUGUAAAGCACUUUCGAUGGGGAAGAAAAGCCCGGCGUUAACAGCGCCGGGUCUUGACGUUACCCAUAGAAGAAGCACCGGCUAACUCCGUGCCAGCAGCCGCGGUAAUACGGAGGGUGCCAGCGUUAAUCGGAAUCACUGGGCGUAAAGCGCACGUAGGCGGCUAGGCAAGUCGGAUGUGAAAGCCCAGGGCUCAACCUUGGAAUUGCAUUCGAUACUGUUUGGCUAGAGUUUGGGAGAGGAAGGCGGAAUUCCGGGUGUAGCGGUGAAAUGCGUAGAUAUCCGGAGGAAUACCAGUGGCGAAGGCGGCCUUCUGGACCAAAACUGACGCUGAGGUGCGAAAGCGUGGGGAGCAAACAGGAUUAGAUACCCCGGUAGUCC